CAAUGGGGGAAACCCUGACCGAGCAACGCCGCGUGAAGGAAGAAGUAAUUCGUUAUGUAAACUUCUGUCAUAGAGGAAGAACGGUGGAUAUAGGGAAUGAUAUCCAAGUGACGGUACUCUAUAAGAAAGCCACGGCUAACUACGUGCCAGCAGCCGCGGUAAUACGUAGGUGGCGGGCGUUAUCCGGAAUUAUUGGGCGUAAAGAGGGAGCAGGCGGCACUAAGGGUCUGUGGUGAAAGAUCGAAGCUUAACUUCGGUAAGCCAUGGAAACCGUAGAGCUAGAGUGUGUGAGAGGAUCGUGGAAUUCCAUGUGUAGCGGUGAAAUGCGUAGAUAUAUGGAGGAACACCAGUGGCGAAGGCGACGAUCUGGCGCAUAACUGACGCUCAGUCCCGAAAGCGUGGGGAGCAAAUAGGAUUAGAUACCCUAGUAGUCCACGCCGUAAACGAUGAGUACUAAGUGUUGGGUGUCAAAGCUCAGUGCUGCAGUUAACGCAAUAAGUACUCCGCCUGAGUAGUACGUUCGCAAGAAUGAAACUCAAAGGAAUUGACGGGGGCCCGCACAAGCGGUGGAGCAUGUGGUUUAAUUCGAAAGCAACGCGAAGAACCUUACCAGGUCUUGACAUCGAUCUAAAGGCUCCAGAGAUGGAGAGAUAGCUAUAGAGAAGACAGGUGGUGCAUGGUUGUCGUCAGCUCGUGUCGUGAGAUGUUGGGUUAAGUCCCGCAACGAGCGCAACCCCUGU
This 740-nucleotide ribosomal RNA is filed under the name uncultured bacterium. RNAcentral describes it as "bacterial SSU rRNA". It matches the Rfam family "Bacterial small subunit ribosomal RNA", at positions 369 to 1108 of the family's 1533-position model. The record is from RNAcentral.